Molecule: ribosomal RNA, 288 nt
Filed under: uncultured Nitrospira sp.
Lineage: Bacteria; Pseudomonadati; Nitrospirota; Nitrospiria; Nitrospirales; Nitrospiraceae
Description: partial 16S ribosomal RNA
Rfam family: Bacterial small subunit ribosomal RNA
Source: RNAcentral
UAAGGAAUAUUGCGCAAUGGGCGAAAGCCUGACGCAGCGACGCCGCGUGGGGGAUGAAGGUCUUCGGAUUGUAAACCCCUUUCGGGAGGGAAGAUGGAACGAGCAAUCGUUCGGACGGUACCUCCAGAAGCAGCCACGGCCAACUUCGUGCCAGCAGCCGCGGUAAUACGAAGGUGGCAAGCGUUGUUCGGAUUUACUGGGCGUAAAGAGCACGUAGGCGGUUGGGAAAGCCUUUUGGGAAAUCUUCGGGCCCAACCCGGAAAGCGCAGAGGGUACUGCCAGGCUAGA